This 240-nucleotide ribosomal RNA is filed under the name uncultured bacterium. RNAcentral's name for it is "partial 16S ribosomal RNA". It matches the Rfam family "Bacterial small subunit ribosomal RNA", at positions 15 to 244 of the family's 1533-position model. The record is from RNAcentral.
GAUCCUGGCUCAGGAUGAACGCUGGCGGCGUGCUUAACACAUGCAAGUCGAACGAAGCACUUUAUAAAGCUUGCUUUAAGAAGUGACUUAGUGGCGGACGGGUGAGUAACGCGUGGGUAACCUGCCUUACACAGGGGGAUAACAGUUAGAAAUGACUGCUAAUACCGCAUAAAACAGCAGAGUCGCAUGACUCAACUGUCAAAGAUUUUAUCGGUGUAAGAUGGACCCGCGUCUGAUUAG